Long non-coding RNA from Scophthalmus maximus (turbot), 1794 nucleotides. RefSeq lists it as uncharacterized. The record is from RefSeq and is a predicted model, not a curated record. NCBI's taxonomy places the organism in Eukaryota, Metazoa, Chordata, Actinopteri, Pleuronectiformes, Scophthalmidae. The transcript is spliced from 3 exons.
CACUCGGUUGGCUAGUAGUGGGUGACAGCUUGACCCCCCGUGUUUGUUUGCCUAUAUUUGCUUUCAUUGUGGCAAAUUCGCGCCAUUCAAAUGACGCCGAAUUGUCCGCUGGCAGCUCUUGUCUCCGAUUUGGAACUUAAACGCGCAGAGUACUACCGCCGGGUUACACGGACACCGAAGAAAACCUUAAAACCCGAGGAUUCCCGUGGGAGUUCCGGCGCCAGCCGCGAGGAGCGUCUCUGGGAUUUCCUGGCGGGUUUGCGGACGCGUGUUCGCAUUGGGCCUCGGAUGUCCGCGGGAAGCCCUGCAAGCACCUGCAGCACCAGCCGGAGCCGGCGGUCCAUGGCCCGGAGAUGAGGCUGGAUGAGGACGGGGGACAGCCGGUCGCGCAGAAGGGACUCCUCCAUCAGCGCGCUCAGCUGGUACUCCUCUUUGGCCAGCAGCUGGAGACGCAGUAACUAGCGGAGGCGGGAAACAAGGCAGGAGAAAGAAUGAGGCAGUGAGGCUCACUCUCUGACACUUGGCCGUCCUGUCUGCCCUUGUCAAAGCCCGACACCCCCCUUAUCUCCACUCCCGGCCUCCCCACCAACAGCCCCCAUCUCAGCUGGCCAAGGUUGGCUCACAGACAAGCCUGUCAUCCAGUCAGAGGUCUGGGAUCUGUCCAAGCGCGGAGCAGAUGUAACCAGGAUUCACACAGACACCUUCGGUCCCACAGGCACGCUCGGCCAUCUCCUGAGACAAAUCCUCAGACAACGUCCUUGGCCCCUCAGCAUUUCACGUGUCUUUAUGUGCUGAUUAACCAUGAGCCAACAUUUACUUAUUUCCAUUACAGCUGAGUAUAUCUGAAACUUAACCCUUUUACUUUUUGUGCAUUCACAUGCUCAUCCCAGAGACAUUGUUCCGAGUUUGGUGUGUUCAUGCGCUGUGAGAUCAGAAUGUGUCAAACUUGUGUACCGUUCUGACGUGAAUUUCCCUGUUAGAAACUUAUUUCCCGAUUAUUCCGACACUACACGAACGCUAUUUCAGCAAGUUCAAAGUUCAAGGUCCAAGAGUACUUCAUUGUCAUUCCCGCCCAUGCACGUAUACAUAUACAGAGGAACAAGCUCUUCAAGUUGACAGUACAAUCUUUGCACGGCUUUAGAAAAAAAAACAAACCCUGCACAGCUUAAAGCGCCCAUUAAAUUUCUCCAAACAUCAAGUGCAGAGUACAAGAAAUGUUUUGUCUGGAAAAACAACUGCACCGUGGGACCACAAGAGCAAUAUUUACCUCAUUAUCUCCUCCAGUAUAUUUUUCUUACUGUCAGUGCUCAAGCACAUACAGUUCUCAUCUGCUUUGAAAAAUAUGUGUUUUUAAUGCUUCGUGGUAACCAGCGUUCACAUUUCAAAUUUAAAAGUUCUGAAAAGUUCUUCAAGAGCCAUAUGGCCCGAUGGACGUGGGCGGUGUGCCCUUUGAAUUUCAUCUACUUAGCAAUCCAGGUAUUGUCAUCAAGUGAAUGUAGCAGUGUCCUUGCUGUGACACUGACAAUUUUCAAUAUAUGCACAUGAAUACGCUGAUAGGAACAUGUGCACAACUAUGCAGCAUCAUUGUGAAAAAUACGAGUGGAAACAACACAUGAGAAGCACCAAAAAGUCACAACGAUCAUAAAAUCACAUCCAGUGCAGUGACAUCAUAAGACACUUUGUUACAAAACCUCAAAGUUAAUUAAUUCUCCGUGAGGUGUGUAAGCAGUGUGAGGUUAAGCACAUUCUGUUUCAUAGUUACUCAGCUAAAUUAAUUAACAGUGAGAGUCCACA